This is a long non-coding RNA of Hypanus sabinus (Atlantic stingray), 1754 nucleotides long. RefSeq lists it as uncharacterized. The record is from RefSeq and is a predicted model, not a curated record. The transcript is spliced from 3 exons. Lineage: Eukaryota; Metazoa; Chordata; Chondrichthyes; Myliobatiformes; Dasyatidae.
CAACCGGCGACGCGGGGUGCCGGCAAGAUGGGAGGGGGGUGGUUUGUUGUCGUUUUGCGAAGCGUUCCCCUCUUCCUGCCACCCCUCAGUCAGUCCGUCCAGGGUGGUGAGAGAUGACUAUAACCACCCCCCCCCCGUUUAAAGACUUUUGACACGGGAUAAUAACCGUACAGUUAUCCGGCCGGCUGUUUGGGCAGGAAUCGGCAGGAGCGAGUCGCAAACUGGAGCUCUGAAACCCAGUGCAACGCUGAGGGAGUACGCCCGCAGCAGGAAGUAGACAACAAUCAGGUUUGAACUCCACAAAUUGGCAAUGACUAUUUCCAUCGAGAAGAUGUCCGUCCUCCCACCUCUGACAUAAACCAUCCCGCGAGUCCCCGUUGACCGAACCAGUUCAGGUCAGGGUGGUCAGAACCAUGUGAUCACUGACCAAGUUAUCAUUCCAAGCCUUCCAGUACCUACAAAGGUGCAGGUCGGGCCUGAUGAACUGAAUGAAUGCAGCUCCGCAGAUCAAAAGGAAAUCUGUAAAACCACAUCCCUUAGAUGUGGUACAAUCUCGUGGCUAAUUUGCCGUGCUACGUGAUGCUGAUGGCAUGAUUACCUACAGCAGGUACCUCAAGGCACUUGGAAGAUACGUUUGCAAAAUCGUCCAAUUGCCCUGGAAAGAUACUGGAUCUGCUACUAGGGAAUGAGACGGGAAUUUGAUGGCUGCAACACACUCAACCAAAGUUGGGACAGAGAUAAAGUAAGAUUGAAAAGAGCACAGAAUAUUCAAGUAACACCGGUUUGGAAGACUCCACGUUAAGCAGGCUAAUUGGUAGCAGUAGCGUCCAUCAAAGGCUCAGUCUUUGCCAGCAAGGAUGGGUUGUGGCUCACCCCUUUGUGCCAAAAUUCGUGAGAGAAUUGUUAGUCAGUUCAAAAGGAACAUUUCCCAACGCAAGAUUGCAGAGAAUUUAGGUCUUUCAACAUCUACAGUACAUAAUAUUGUGAAGAGAUUCAGAGAAUUCAGAGACAUCUCACUGCGUAAAGGGCAAGGUCAGAAACCACUGUUGAAUGCUCGUGAUCUUCGAGUCCUCAGGUGGCACUGCCUAAGAAGCCGUCAUGCUACUGUGACAAUUAUAGCCACCUGGGCUUGGGAGUACUUCGGAAAACCAUUGUCACUUAACACAGUCCGACGCUGCAUCCAGAAAUGCAACUUGAAACUGUAUUACGCAAGGAUGAAGCCAUACAUCAACUCUAUGCAGAAACGCCGGUGAGUUCUCUGGGCCCGAGCUCAUCUCAGAUGGACCAAAAGACUGUGGAACCAUGUGCUGUGGUCAGAUGAGUCCAAAUUUCAGCUAGUUUUCGGAAAAAACGGGCAUCGAUUUCUUCGUGCCAAAGAUGAAAACGACCAUCCUGAUUGUUAUCAGCAAAAGGUGCAAAACCCAGCAUCUGUGAUGGUACGGGGGUGCAUCAAUGCCCAUGGCAUGGGUGAGUUGCAAGUAUGUGAAGGUACCAUUGACUCUGAGACAUAUAUUAGGACUUUAGAGAGACAUAUGUUGCCAUCAAGGUGACGUCUCUUCCCGGGACGUCCAUGUUUAUUUCAGCAGGACAAUGCCAGACCACAUUCUGCACCGGCUACAACAGCAUGGCUUUGUAGACACAGAGUGCGUGUGCUUGACUGGCCUGUUGCCAGUCCAGAUCUAUCUCCUGUUGAAAAUGUAUGGCGCAUCAUGAAGAGGAGAAUCAGACAAUGGAGACCACGGACUGUUGAGCAG